This 491-nucleotide ribosomal RNA is filed under the name uncultured Microbacterium sp. RNAcentral's name for it is "partial 16S ribosomal RNA". The record is from RNAcentral. Lineage: Bacteria; Bacillati; Actinomycetota; Actinomycetes; Micrococcales; Microbacteriaceae.
CACGUAGUUAGCCGGCGCUUUUUCUGCAGGUACCGUCACCCGAAGGCUUCUUCCCUACUAAAAGAGGUUUACAACCCGAAGGCCGUCAUCCCUCACGCGGCGUUGCUGCAUCAGGCUUGCGCCCAUUGUGCAAUAUUCCCCACUGCUGCCUCCCGUAGGAGUCUGGGCCGUGUCUCAGUCCCAGUGUGGCCGGUCACCCUCUCAGGCCGGCUACCCGUCGACGCCUUGGUGAGCCAUUACCUCACCAACAAGCUGAUAGGCCGCGAGCCCCUCCCGAACCGAAAAAUCUUUCCCACCAUUGACGAUGCCGUCAUGGUGCGUAUCCGGUAUUAGACGCCGUUUCCAGCGCUUAUCCCAAAGUUCGGGGCAGGUUGCUCACGUGUUACUCACCCGUUCGCCACUAAUCCACCCCUGCAAGCAGGGGCUUCAUCGUUCGACUUGCAUGUGUUAAGCACGCCGCCAGCGUUCAUCCUGAGCCAGGAUCAAACUCG